This 73-nucleotide transfer RNA is filed under the name Stegodyphus mimosarum. It matches the Rfam family "tRNA". From Rfam's summary of the family: Transfer RNA (tRNA) molecules are approximately 80 nucleotides in length. Their secondary structure includes four short double-helical elements and three loops (D, anti-codon, and T loops). The record is from Rfam by way of RNAcentral. Lineage: Eukaryota; Metazoa; Arthropoda; Arachnida; Araneae; Eresidae.
GCCUUCGUAGUGCAAUGGUCAGCACACUCGACGCGUAUUCCAAAGGUCCGUGGUUCGAAUCCCGGCGAGGGUA